Molecule: ribosomal RNA, 467 nt
Filed under: uncultured bacterium
Lineage: Bacteria
Description: partial 16S ribosomal RNA
Rfam family: Bacterial small subunit ribosomal RNA
Source: RNAcentral
GACGAACGCUGGCGGCGUGCUUAACACAUGCAAGUCGAACGGAAAGGCCUCUUUCGGGGGGUACUCGAGUGGCGAACGGGUGAGUAACACGUGGGUAACCUGCCCUUGACUUUGGGAUAACUUCAGGAAACUGGGGCUAAUACCGGAUAGGAGCUCCUGCUGCAUGGUGGGGGUUGGAAAGUUUCGGCGGUUGGGGAUGGACUCGCGGCUUAUCAGCUUGUUGGUGGGGUAGUGGCUUACCAAGGCUUUGACGGGUAGCCGGCCUGAGAGGGUGACCGGCCACAUUGGGACUGAGAUACGGCCCAGACUCCUACGGGAGGCAGCAGUGGGGAAUAUUGCACAAUGGGUGGAAGCCUGAUGCAGCAACGCCGUGUGCGGGAUGACGGCCUUCGGGUUGUAAACCGCUUUCGCUCAUGACGAAGCUUUGUGUGACGGUAGUGGGUAAAGAAGCACCGGCUAACUACGUG